Molecule: ribosomal RNA, 427 nt
Filed under: uncultured bacterium
Lineage: Bacteria
Description: bacterial SSU rRNA
Rfam family: Bacterial small subunit ribosomal RNA
Source: RNAcentral
UGGGGAAUAUUGGACAAUGGGGGCAACCCUGAUCCAGCAAUGCCGCGUGUGUGAAUAAGGCCUUCGGGUUGUAAAGCACUUUUAUCGGGAACGAAACAUUGUCGGCCAAUACCCGGCAAGACUGACGGUACCCGAGGAAUAAGCACCGGCUAACUCCGUGCCAGCAGCCGCGGUAAUACGGAGGGUGCAAGCGUUAAUCGGAAUUACUGGGCGUAAAGCGUGCGCAGGCGGUUUGUUAAGUCUGCUGUGAAAUCCCCGAGCUCAACUUGGGAAUUGCAGUGGAUACUGGCAAGCUGGAGUACGGUAGAGGAAGGUGGAAUUCCCGGUGUAGCAGUGAAAUGCGUAGAGAUCGGGAGGAACACCAGUGGCGAAGGCGGCCUUCUGGACCAGUACUGACGCUCAUGCACGAAAGCGUGGGGAGCAAACA